This 253-nucleotide ribosomal RNA is filed under the name uncultured bacterium. RNAcentral's name for it is "partial 16S ribosomal RNA". It matches the Rfam family "Bacterial small subunit ribosomal RNA", at positions 524 to 776 of the family's 1533-position model. The record is from RNAcentral.
GACAGAGGGUGCGAACGUUGUUCGGAAUUACUGGGCGUAAAGCGCGUGUAGGCGGCAGCGCAAGUCGGGCGUGAAAUCCCACGGCUCAACCGUGGAAGUGCACUCGAAACUGCGUAGCUAGAGUCCUGGAGAGGAAGGUGGAAUGCUUGGUGUAGAGGUGAAAUUCGUAGAUAUCAAGCGGAACACCGGUGGCGAAGGCGGCCUUCUGGACAGUGACUGACGCUGAGACGCGAAAGCGUGGGGAGCAAACAGG